CCGCCGCCAGCUUCACAUGUGUGCCGCGCUUACAUGUUUAUCGUGUAUUGUGUGCGUUUAUUGCGUGCUUAUCGUACGCGACAUUCGUCGACUGGGCAUUUUCCGCGUGUUGGGGCGUUCUCCUGCCUUGAUCCAGUGGCGGAUGAUGGUCGUUGUUCGUUGCCACUCAACACAGCCUCACGGGACGCACAGCUUUGUGUCCGCGCUCAAAAGUGCUUUCUUGCUUCGUUCAUCGAUUACUCACGUUGAUCGAGUGAUCGAGUGUACUUCCGAAGACAAUCCGCGUCCGAGUGUUUUGACAAGCGGCGACCGCGGUUCCACAGGAGCGGAAGCUUGAGCCUUUUGACGAGCGACUGUGAAGAGUGCCAAUGCCAAACUUGGGAACCGUCGUGUUGGCACAGCGAGGAUGAUCAACAGAUACCCGAUAGGCAGCGAUGAGAGCUGUUCAUGGCACCGACACAGAGGACAGAUUGCAGUACAAGAUAGGAGCAUACUUCCUGCAAGCCCGGGCAAGCCAUAAUGAGUGGUUUCAAAUACAGCAACUGUACCACCACAACAGUGCAGCACAGGAGAGCCUAUCGUCAGUGCCGCGUCGAGAAAUUAAAUAAAAAGCACUUACUCCUG
Long non-coding RNA from Rhipicephalus sanguineus (brown dog tick), 624 nucleotides. RefSeq lists it as uncharacterized. The record is from RefSeq and is a predicted model, not a curated record. The transcript has 4 exons. NCBI's taxonomy places the organism in Eukaryota, Metazoa, Arthropoda, Arachnida, Ixodida, Ixodidae.